UACCACACGAUCCAUCUUCUGGAAUCCGAGCUCAGAUGAACUAUUCAGUUUCAUUGACCGCAUAUGUACCCUUUCUAAUCUGCAGCAUCUGGACUUGUCUAAUAAUGAUAGUAUAGUAAGUGUUCCUGAGAGUAUUGGCAACCUCAGGAAUCUGCAUACACUGGACCUCUCUUGCUGUUCACAUCUAGUUAGGCUUCCAGAAUGUUUGGUUAGAAUGGAUAAUGUGAAGAUCUUGAAUGUCACCGGGUGCCGCAAACUGGAAAAAUCUGCACUGUCCCGAUCAAAGAUUUUUGACUUGUUGCCGCAUUUCGUGGUCCAAGCUGAUGAAGGUGAAUCUAGCAGCAACAUCGGUCUUCUACAGUACGCAAAUCCUAAUGAGUUGCACAUAACUUGCCUUGAUAAUGUAAAGUCUGCAGAAGAGGUCCAGAGUAUAAAGCUGAUAGAAAAACAGGGGAUUAAUGAUUUGAAACUUCAAUGGACCAGUGAUGCUUGCAGGUCUGUUGAGGAUAUGGAAGUGAUGGCAAGUCUUGUGCCACCAAGCACCUUGAGGGAAUUUAAUAUGACAGGCUACAAUAGUGUGAGCUUUCCGCCCUGGCUUAUGAACAUAAAGCUUUAUCUACCGGAACUUAGCAAGAUUGAACUGUGGCAUAUAUGUAAAUGCAACAGCUUGCCUGCAUUAGGUCAAUUACAAAACCUUAGAGAGCUAAUUAUUGGAGAAAUGGACAGCAUUACGAUCAUCGAAGAGGAUUUUUGUGGUGGUGCAAGGGCCUUCCCUCAGCUGAAGAGAUUUUGUCUAUACCACAUGGAAAAUCUGGAAGCAUGGAAGACGAUGUACUCCAAUGGCAAGGAUGUUGAGAAAGAAUUCAUGUUCCCUAACCUUAAGGAGCUGUCAAUAAAUGAUUGCCCAAAGUUGAGAAUGGAACCAUGCCUUCCUAGAGCAAAGAAAUGGGAGAUAGAGAACAGCAAUAAUGUAUUAUCAUUAUGGGGAGAAACUCGUGCUACCUCCUCUGUUGCACCUAUGGAUGUGAGUGUAACAGUCAGAUCUGACAAAGCGCCUUUGGAUCAGUGGAAGUUCUUUCACGACCUCCCUUCCCUGAGUACUUUACACAUCAAAUGUUGCACUGAUCGGACAUGCAGCUCCAAUAUGCUAAGCCAAUUCCUGUUCAACAUCAUGUCACGGUGGUUCACAAAUUCUAAUGAUUUGUACAUAACUAAGCUGAUGAAAAGACAAGUUAUUAACGAUUUGAAACUACAGUGGACUAGAAAUGCUGGUGGUUCUGUGGAGGAUGUGGAAGUACUGGGAAAGCUUGUACCACCAAGUAGUUUGAGGGAAUUUAAUAUGACAGGUUACAGCAGUAUGAGGUUUCCUGCCUGGGUUAUGGACAUUACGCUUUAUCUCCCAAGUCUUAGCAAGAUUGAAUUGUGGGAUAUACGCAAAUGCAACAGCUUACCACCACUUGGCCAAUUAACAAACUUGCAAGAGCUAGUUAUAGGUGUAAUGGAUAGCAUUACGACAAUUGAUGGGGAUUUCUGUGGCGGUGAAAGAGCCUUCCCUGAAUUGAGGAAAUUUUGCUUAUGCCGUAUGGGAAACCUCAAGUUGUGGGAGACAAUGUACUCCUAUGACAUGGGUAGUGUGAAGAAAUUCAUGUUCCCAAACCUUGUGGAAUUGUUAAUACGUGAUUGCCCAAAUUUAAGAUUGAAACCAUGCCCACCUAGAGCUAAGAGAUGGGAAAUUGAGAGCAGCGAUAAUGUAUUAUCAUCAUGGGGAGAGAAUCUGUCAUGCAACUCAUUAGACAUAAUUGGAGACCUCUCGUUUAUCAAAUCAUUGUUGCUAGAAGAUAAUACUCAGCCAGAACAUCCGAAAUGGUUGGGUGGCCUCAGCUCUAUCCGGAAAAUGGACAUCACAAGGUGUAAAGAGCUGUCUGAUUUGCCUGGGAGCAUGCGAUAUCUGACAUCCCUCCAGGAGCUUUCUUUGAUAGAUUGUCCAAGAAUAAAAGUGCUGCCAGAAUGGUUGGGUGAUCUUACUGCUCUGAAGAAACUUCAGAUCCGGUAUUGUAGGGGUAUCAACUCUUUGCCACAGAGCAUACAGAAGCUUACCAAGCUUAAAGGACUAGCUAUUUACCACUGCCUUGAAUUGGUAGAGUGGUGUAAUUUAGAGAAGAACAAGAACAUGCUGGCUCACAUAAAAGUAAAGGUAUAUGUCCCGCCAUGCUAUCUGCCAUGUCCUACUUAUCUUGACAGUAGCCAAAUUAAACUACACGGUGAUGCAUUUUCAUCUGCAACAUCCCUACAAGUCUUGGAUUUAAGCAAGUGCCACAUAUACAAGUUGCCAGCUUGCAUCAGUGAAUUGGUGAAAUUGAGGUAUCUCAAUGCCCCCAAGAUUCAAAGUCAAACAAUCCCGUAUUGUAUCACCAAGCUCUCGAAACUAAUUUACCUCAACCUAAGUUGGUCCAGGAUGUUAGCAUUGCCUGAGUCAAUUGGUGACUUGAGAUGUUUGAUGCAUCUUGACAUCUCGAAUUGUGAAUUUAUAGAUAACCUCCCAAAAUCAUUUGUGAAUCUCAAAAGGUUGGAAUAUCUGGAUUUAUCAAACAACAGUCAGCUUAGAGGUCUAUCAAAAGCUUUGGGUGGCCUAACCAACAUCCAAUACUUGAAUUUAUCAAUGCAAAUAGGUUAUGUAUUGGGUCAAUUUCUUGAGGGGCUGCCAGAGGUCAUUGGUAAUCUAAUUGGACUCCGUUAUUUAGGUCUAUCACAUACCACACGAUCCAUCUUCUGGAAUUCGAGCUCAGAUGAACUAUUCAGUUUCAUUGACCGUAUAUGUACCCUUUCUAAUCUGCAGCAUCUGGACUUGUCUAAUAAUGAUAGUAUAGUAAGUGUUCCUGAGAGUAUUGGCAACCUCAGGAAUCUGCAUACACUGGACCUCUCUUGCUGUUCACAUCUAGUGAGGCUUCCAGAAUGUUUGGUUAGAAUGGAUAAUGUGAAGAUCUUGAAUGUCACCGGGUGCCGCAAACUGGAAAAAUCUGCACUGUCCCGAUCAA
RNAcentral lists this long non-coding RNA (3035 nucleotides) under Setaria italica (foxtail millet). RNAcentral's name for it is "long non-coding RNA (SITA_LNC002728)". Lineage: Eukaryota; Viridiplantae; Streptophyta; Magnoliopsida; Poales; Poaceae. The record is from RNAcentral.